RNAcentral lists this small RNA (185 nucleotides) under Drosophila guanche. Lineage: Eukaryota; Metazoa; Arthropoda; Insecta; Diptera; Drosophilidae. The record is from RNAcentral.
GCGCAAAGUAAAACAAAAAAAACUCAAUUCGAUUUAUGGUUUGUGAUUGCAAAUUUGACAUAAUUGUGUUUUUUGAUUUAUUUCUUAAUCGUAUCCGUGUCUGUAUAAGUGUGUGUGUGUGUGUGUGUCUGUGUGUAGCAUCUUCAAGUGCCGCAAAACCGACCACGAUUAUCGCACACAGCGCA